CCUACGGGAGGCAGCAGUGGGGAAUAUUGGGCAAUGGAGGCAACUCUGACCCAGCAACGCCGCGUGAAUGAUGAAGGUCUUCGGAUUGUAAAGUUCUGUGAUGGGGGAGGAACACAAGGACGGUACCGCAAUAGCAAGCGACGGCUAACUAGGUGCCAGCAGCCGCGGUAAUACGUAGGUGGCAAUAGUGAUCCGGAUUGACUGGGCGUAAGGGUUGCGUAGGUGGUUUAGUAAGUUGGCGGUGUAAUUCCGGGGCUUAACCUCGGCGCUGCAGCAAAAACUGUUAUACUAGAGUGCGGGAGAGGUAAGUGGAAUUCCUAGUGUAGCGGUGGAAUGCGUAGAUAUUAGGAGGAACAUCAGGGGCGAAGGCGACUUUCUGGACUGUAACUGACGCUGAGGCACGAAAGCGUGGGGAGCAAACAGGAUUAGAUACCCGGGUAGUC
This 443-nucleotide ribosomal RNA is filed under the name uncultured bacterium. Its description in RNAcentral is "partial 16S ribosomal RNA". It matches the Rfam family "Bacterial small subunit ribosomal RNA", at positions 338 to 795 of the family's 1533-position model. The record is from RNAcentral.